RNAcentral lists this ribosomal RNA (1373 nucleotides) under uncultured bacterium. Its description in RNAcentral is "bacterial SSU rRNA". It matches the Rfam family "Bacterial small subunit ribosomal RNA", at positions 28 to 1381 of the family's 1533-position model. The record is from RNAcentral.
GAUGAACGCUGGCGGCGUGCCUAAUACAUGCAAGUCGAGCGAACGGACGAGAAGCUUGCUUCUCUGAUGUUAGCGGCGGACGGGUGGGUAACACGUGGAUAACCUACCUAUAAGACUGGGAUAACUUCGGGAAACCGGAGCUAAUACCGGAUAAUAUUUUGAACCGCAUGGUUCAAAAGUGAAAGACGGUCUUGCUGUCACUUAUAGAUGGAUCCGCGCUGCAUUAGCUAGUUGGUAAGGUAACGGCUUACCAAGGCAACGAUGCAUAGCCGACCUGAGAGGGUGAUCGGCCACACUGGAACUGAGACACGGUCCAGACUCCUACGGGAGGCAGCAGUAGGGAAUCUUCCGCAAUGGGCGAAAGCCUGACGGAGCAACGCCGCGUGAGUGAUGAAGGUCUUCGGAUCGUAAAACUCUGUUAUUAGGGAAGAACAUAUGUGUAAGUAACUGUGCACAUCUUGACGGUACCUAAUCAGAAAGCCACGGCUAACUACGUGCCAGCAGCCGCGGUAAUACGUAGGUGGCAAGCGUUAUCCGGAAUUAUUGGGCGUAAAGCGCGCGUAGGCGGUUUUUUAAGUCUGAUGUGAAAGCCCACGGCUCAACCGUGGAGGGUCAUUGGAAACUGGAAAACUUGAGUGCAGAAGAGGAAAGUGGAAUUCCAUGUGUAGCGGUGAAAUGCGCAGAGAUAUGGAGGAACACCAGUGGCGAAGGGCGACUUUCUGGUCUGUAACUGACGCUGAUGUGCGAAAGCGUGGGGAUCAAACAGGAUUAGAUACCCUGGUAGUCCACGCCGUAAACGAUGAGUGCUAAGUGUUAGGGGGUUUCCGCCCCUUAGUGCUGCAGCUAACGCAUUAAGCACUCCGCCUGGGGAGUACGACCGCAAGGUUGAAACUCAAAGGAAUUGACGGGGACCCGCACAAGCGGUGGAGCAUGUGGUUUAAUUCGAAGCAACGCGAAGAACCUUACCAAAUCUUGACAUCCUUUGACAACUCUAGAGAUAGAGCCUUCCCCUUCGGGGGACAAAGUGACAGGUGGUGCAUGGUUGUCGUCAGCUCGUGUCGUGAGAUGUUGGGUUAAGUCCCGCAACGAGCGCAACCCUUAAGCUUAGUUGCCAUCAUUAAGUUGGGCACUCUAAGUUGACUGCCGGUGACAAACCGGAGGAAGGUGGGGAUGACGUCAAAUCAUCAUGCCCCUUAUGAUUUGGGCUACACACGUGCUACAAUGGACAAUACAAAGGGCAGCGAAACCGCGAGGUCAGGCAAAUCCCAUAAAGUUGUUCUCAGUUCGGAUUGUAGUCUGCAACUCGACUACAUGAAGCUGGAAUCGCUAGUAAUCGUAGAUCAGCAUGCUACGGUGAAUACGUUCCCGGGUCU